AUGGCCCACCAAGGCAUUGAUGGGUAGUUGGUCUGAGAGGACGACCAGCCACAUUGGGACUGAGAUACGGCCCAGACUCCUACGGGAGGCAGCAGUGGGGAAUCUUGGACAAUGGGGGAAACCCUGAUCCAGCGACACCGCGUGGGGGAUGAAGGCUUUCGGGUUGUAAACCCCUUUUCUGGGGGAAGAAUAAGGUUGGGAGGAAAUGCCCAUCCGAUGACGGUACUCCAGGAAUAAGCAUCGGCAAACUUCGUGCCAGCAGCCGCGGUAAGACGAAGGAUGCGAGCGUUAUCCGGAAUUACUGGGCGUAAAGGGCGUCUAGGCGGUUGGGUAAGUCACUUGUGAAAGCCCUCGGCUUAACCGAGGAAAGUCUCGUGAUACUGCCCAGCUUGGGUGUAGGAGAGGGGAGUGGAACUCACAGAGUAGCGGUGGAAUGCGUAGAUACUGUGAGGUACCCCGAUGGCGAAGGCAACUCCCUGGCCUACUACCGACGCUGAAGCGCGAAAGCGUGGGGAGCAAAGGGGAUUAGAUACCCCCGUAGUCCACGCCCCAAACGAUGUUCACUUGGUGUCGGCCGCAAAUAUAGGUCGGUGCCGGAGCUAACGCGUUAAGUGAACCGCCUGAGGAGUACGGCCGCAAGGCUAAAACUCAAGAGAAUUGACGGGUCCCCGCACAAGCGGUGGAGCACGUGGUUUAAUUCGAUUUAAGCGAAGAACCUCACCCAGGCUUGACAUACUAGUGGUAGGAACCUGAAAGGGGGACGACCCUGCCUUCGGGUAGGGAGCUAGUACAGGUGAUGCAUGGCUGUCGUCAGCUCGUGUCGUGGGAUGUAGGGUUAAGUCCCGAAACGAGCGCAACCCUUGUCGUUAGUUGCCAGCGGGUAAUGCCGGGGACUCUAGCGAGACUGCUGGUGAAUAGCCGGAGGAAGGCGGGGAUGACGUCAAGUCAUCAUGUCCCUUAUGCCUGGGGCGACACACAUGCUACAAUGGGGGGUACAGAGGGUCGCAAUACCGUAAGGUGGAGCCAAUCUCAAAAAACCCUCCUCAGUUCGGAUUGAGGUCUGCAACUCGACCUCAUGAAGCCGGAAUCGCUAGUAAUCGUAGGUCAGCCAUACUACGGUGAAUAUGUACUCGGGGAUUGUACACACCGCCCGUCACACCAACCGAGUGGGGGGUACCUGAAGUCGUCUCCAUGAGGCGCCGAGGGUAACCUUCGCAAGAGG
This 1222-nucleotide ribosomal RNA is filed under the name metagenome. Its description in RNAcentral is "bacterial SSU rRNA". It matches the Rfam family "Bacterial small subunit ribosomal RNA", at positions 260 to 1478 of the family's 1533-position model. The record is from RNAcentral.